GAAUAUGGGGGGACCAUCCUCCAAGGCAAAAUACCCCUGACGGCCCGAUAGUGAACCAGUACCGUGAGGGAAAGGCGAAAAGACCCCCGGGGAGGGGAGUGAAAAAGAACCUGAAACCGUGUACGUACAGGCAGUGGGAGCACGGGUUUACCUGUGUGACUGCGUACCUUUUGUAUAAUGGGUCAGCGACUUAUAUUCUGUAGCAAGGUUAACCG
RNAcentral lists this ribosomal RNA (215 nucleotides) under Salmonella enterica subsp. enterica serovar Infantis. RNAcentral describes it as "partial 23S ribosomal RNA". It matches the Rfam family "Bacterial large subunit ribosomal RNA", at positions 440 to 652 of the family's 2925-position model. The record is from RNAcentral. Lineage: Bacteria; Pseudomonadati; Pseudomonadota; Gammaproteobacteria; Enterobacterales; Enterobacteriaceae.